GGGGAUUUAGCUCAGUGGUAGAGUGCUUGCCUAGCAAGUACAAGGCCCUGGGUUCGGUCCCCAGCUCCA
RNAcentral lists this transfer RNA (69 nucleotides) under Rattus norvegicus (Norway rat). It matches the Rfam family "tRNA". Rfam says of the family: Transfer RNA (tRNA) molecules are approximately 80 nucleotides in length. Their secondary structure includes four short double-helical elements and three loops (D, anti-codon, and T loops). Further hydrogen bonds mediate the characteristic L-shaped molecular structure. tRNAs have two regions of fundamental functional importance: the anti-codon, which is responsible for specific mRNA codon recognition, and the 3' end, to which the tRNAs corresponding amino acid is attached (by aminoacyl-tRNA synthetases). tRNAs cope with the degeneracy of the genetic code in two manners: having more than one tRNA (with a specific anti-codon) for a particular amino acid; and 'wobble' base-pairing, i.e. permitting non-standard base-pairing at the 3rd anti-codon position. The record is from Rfam by way of RNAcentral. Lineage: Eukaryota; Metazoa; Chordata; Mammalia; Rodentia; Muridae.